This 700-nucleotide ribosomal RNA is filed under the name uncultured bacterium. Its description in RNAcentral is "bacterial SSU rRNA". It matches the Rfam family "Bacterial small subunit ribosomal RNA", at positions 94 to 830 of the family's 1533-position model. The record is from RNAcentral.
AGUGGCGGACGGGUGAGUAACGCGUGAGAAUCUGCCUUCAGGACGGGGACAACAGUUGGAAACGACUGCUAAUACCCGAUGUGACGAAAGUUGAAAGAUUUAUCGCCUGAAGAUGAGCUCGCGUCAGAUUAGCUAGUUGGUGGGGUAAGAGCCUACCAAGGCAACGAUCUGUAGCUGGUCUGAGAGGAUGAGCAGCCACACUGGGACUGAGACACGGCCCAGACUCCUACGGGAGGCAGCAGUGGGGAAUUUUCCGCAAUGGGCGCAAGCCUGACGGAGCAAUACCGCGUGAGGGAGGAAGGCUCUUGGGUCGUAAACCUCUUUUCUUAGGGAAGAUAAUGACGGUACCUAAGGAAUCAGCAUCGGCUAACUCCGUGCCAGCAGCCGCGGUAAUACGGAGGAUGCAAGCGUUAUCCGGAAUGAUUGGGCGUAAAGCGUCCGUAGGUGGUUAUGUAAGUCCGUGGUUAAAGCGUGGAGCUUAACUCCAUAACGGCCAUGGAAACUACAAGACUAGAGUGAAGUAGGGGUAGAGGGAAUUCCCAGUGUAGCGGUGAAAUGCGUAGAGAUUGGGAAGAACACCGGUGGCGAAAGCGCUCUACUGGACUUAAACUGACACUGAGGGACGAAAGCUAGGGGAGCGAAAGGGAUUAGAUACCCCUGUAGUCCUAGCCGUAAACGAUGGAUACUAGGUGUUGCCCGU